This 329-nucleotide long non-coding RNA is filed under the name Gossypium raimondii (Peruvian cotton). RNAcentral describes it as "long non-coding RNA (GRAI_LNC000483)". Lineage: Eukaryota; Viridiplantae; Streptophyta; Magnoliopsida; Malvales; Malvaceae. The record is from RNAcentral.
UGGGUUAGGGGUAUUGGGCCUGAUGUUGGGUAGUGGGUUAAUUGGGUUUGGUGGGUAGGACCAGGUUAGGGUCUGUAACCGGGUUUAGUGACUGGGCUUCAACCCGAAUUUAGCCCAUUGUAAUUGGACUAUUUAUUGGACUUUUAAAUUUUGUUUUUUUUGUUUGGUUUUUAUUUUACUAACGGGCCGGGCAAAUUGGGCCUAUUACAGCUGCCCCUCUUUGCUCGUUGUCGUGUAACGGGGGCAGAGCAAAGACUCUAGAAAUGGCCAAUUUUACCCGGUCGUGCUUGGUCUUUGGUGCUUCAAUCCACUUUACCGUGACAUCGGGG